RNAcentral lists this ribosomal RNA (574 nucleotides) under uncultured bacterium. RNAcentral describes it as "partial 16S ribosomal RNA". It matches the Rfam family "Bacterial small subunit ribosomal RNA", at positions 355 to 918 of the family's 1533-position model. The record is from RNAcentral.
UGGGGAAUUUUGGACAAUGGGCGAAAGCCUGAUCCAGCAAUGCCGCGUGUGUGAAGAAGGCCUUCGGGUUGUAAAGCACUUUUGUCCGGAAAGAAAUCCUUGGCUCUAAUACAGUCGGGGGAUGACGGUACCGGAAGAAUAAGCACCGGCUAACUACGUGCCGGCAGCCGCGGUAAUACGUAGGGUGCAAGCGUUAAUCGGAAUUACUGGGCGUAAAGCGUGCGCAGGCGGUUUGCUAAGACCGAUGUGAAAUCCCCGGGCUCAACCUGGGAACUGCAUUGGUGACUGGCAGGCUAGAGUAUGGCAGAGGGGGGUAGAAUUCCACGUGUAGCAGUGAAAUGCGUAGAGAUGUGGAGGAAUACCGAUGGCGAAGGCAGCUCCUGGGGCCCAAUACUGACGCUCAUGCACGAAAAGCGUGGGGAGCAAAACAGGAUUAGAUACCCUGGUAGUCCACGCCCUAAAACGAUGUCAACUAGUUGUUGGGGAUUCAUUUCCUUAGUAACGUAGCUAACGCGUGAAGUUGACCGCCUGGGGAGUACGGUCGCAAGAUUAAAACUCAAAGGAAUUGACGGGG